RNAcentral lists this ribosomal RNA (253 nucleotides) under uncultured bacterium. RNAcentral describes it as "partial 16S ribosomal RNA". It matches the Rfam family "Bacterial small subunit ribosomal RNA", at positions 524 to 776 of the family's 1533-position model. The record is from RNAcentral.
UACGUAGGGUGCAAGCGUUAAUCGGAAUUACUGGGCGUAAAGCGUGCGCAGGCGGUUGUGCAAGACAUAUGUGAAAUCCCCGGGCUUAACCUGGGAACUGCAUUUGUGACUGCACGGCUAGAGUGUGUCAGAGGGGGGUAGAAUUCCACGUGUAGCAGUGAAAUGCGUAGAUAUGUGGAGGAAUACCGAUGGCGAAGGCAGCCCCCUGGGAUAACACUGACGCUCAUGCACGAAAGCGUGGGGAGCAAACAGG